RNAcentral lists this ribosomal RNA (619 nucleotides) under Salvelinus leucomaenis pluvius. RNAcentral describes it as "partial 16S ribosomal RNA". It matches the Rfam family "Bacterial large subunit ribosomal RNA", at positions 1797 to 2619 of the family's 2925-position model. Lineage: Eukaryota; Metazoa; Chordata; Actinopteri; Salmoniformes; Salmonidae. The record is from RNAcentral.
CGCCUGUUUACCAAAAACAUCGCCUCUUGCAAAUCAAAGCAUAAGAGGUCCCGCCUGCCCUGUGACUAUGGGUUUAACGGCCGCGGUAUUUUGACCGUGCGAAGGUAGCGCAAUCACUUGUCUUUUAAAUGAAGACCUGUAUGAAUGGCAUCACGAGGGCUUAGCUGUCUCCUCUCCCAAGUCAAUGAAAUUGAUCUGCCCGUGCAGAAGCGGACAUAAAUACAUAAGACGAGAAGACCCUAUGGAGCUUUAGACACCAGGCAGAUCACGUCAAGUAACCUUAAAUUAACAAGUAGAAACGCAGUGACCCCUAGCCCAUAUGUCUUUGGUUGGGGCGACCGCGGGGGAAAAUAAAGCCCCCAUGUGGACUGGGGGCACUGCCCCCACAGCCGAGAGCUACAGCUCUAAGCACCAGAAUUUCUGACCAAAAAUGAUCCGGCGAACGCCGAUCAACGGACCGAGUUACCCUAGGGAUAACAGCGCAAUCCUCUCCCAGAGUCCCUAUCGACGAGGGGGUUUACGACCUCGAUGUUGGAUCAGGACAUCCUAAUGGUGCAGCCGCUAUUAAGGGUUCGUUUGUUCAACGAUUAAAGUCCUACGUGAUCUGAGUUCAGACCGG